This is a long non-coding RNA of Hirundo rustica (Barn swallow), 1841 nucleotides long. RefSeq lists it as uncharacterized. Lineage: Eukaryota; Metazoa; Chordata; Aves; Passeriformes; Hirundinidae. The record is from RefSeq and is a predicted model, not a curated record. The transcript has 4 exons.
CGGAGUUUGCAGGUGGUACGGGUCCCGGAGGAAUGUUGUCACUAGGCCGGGAAUAACCCGGCGUUUGCGUUUAGGCUCUGCUCUGCUCGUUCCUUGGGUUCGGCGUGUUGUACCGCUGUGUUCUGUGCCGAAGAAGUUCGGGCUGUAGGUUGAAGGGCGUUGGGAGUUGACCGGGAUCUUUUUGCAGCUCUGUGGGUGGGUGAGGAGACCACCGUCAUCCCGGGCGGUUUGGGGAGGUGGUGUAAGGCCGCGUUCCAAACGUGCCUUUGGAAACUUGCCAGCUCAGUGUCGCGACCUGUGCCGUGUAGAGAAUUUCUCAGGGAGAAUCGCACACAGAAUCACAGAACGAAUUAGGUUGCAAAAGGCCUGUGGGAUCACCGACUCCAACCUUUGACUGAACAUCACCAUGUCAAUCACACCGUGCCACAAAGUGCUGCUUAACAAAUGUACAAACACCUGUCCUAAACCCUUAACAUUAGUGCAGGUGUAAAGCAGGAAGCCAGAUAAUGGAUUUGCAGAAGUCUUGGAGGUGACCAAGCGCGCAGCAGAGCUGGCAUCUCCCCAUCUGUUCCAUUACCAAGUGUGAUGUCUUUGUUCAGCCCCCACCCUGGCCUGGCUUUAAACUGAGGUACCAACUGGAAUCUGAAGCAGCUGACAAAUGAACACUUCCUGAGGUGGCAGUGGUGGCUUCUGUCAGCUGAGUACAGCAGGUGGCCAGCAUCAGCAGUGUCUUAUAGUGAGGUUUGUACCUUUCCCCUUGGGCUUUGUAUGAGUCUGCAAAGAGGGAAAGUCAGUGAGCAGAGGAAGAGGAGCACUGGGCUGGAAGUGGAGCAGGAGCUCUCCUGCCAACCAAGAUAACCACAAAGCCAAAGGACCCAUCUGGAGGUGGUCCUUGGCCCCUCAACAACUGUUCUCCUUCCAGCUGAGAGUGACUCUGCUUCCUGUGGUGCAAGAGAGUCAAACCUGUCCAGUUACCUGCAACCUGAAGGGGCAGAUAACAAAAUGCCAGCCUCCUGACAGAUCUCUCGUUGUUUGCUUGGAUCAUUUGAAACCCCUUGGUUGCUGCCCCACUCUCUGCUGGCACAGAAGUUUCUGCCCAGGUUGCGGUUGCAGAACAUGAACCACCAGCUCUGAAGAACCUGGCACAGUUUCCUGUGUCCCAGUCCUUCACCUGCAGAAUGUGCCAUUCCUCAUCAAGGUGCUGGAGCACAUGCUGCCUCCAUGUACUGCUCAUCAACAGGAUUGUUCCUCAAAUCUCCACCUGGGGAUGAUUCCCAGACUGAAAACCAGUGUGUGUCACACCUACCUCCUUAUGACCUUCACAUAGGUGGUGGAGAUGAAGUUUGGCUUGGUUGAGGAGCCAGGAAUGAUUACCUGGACUAAAUACAGAUCUAAGGCUAGGGACACAGGAUUUGAGGCAGUCAAGUUAGCAAGUCAGAAUUGUAGAAUAGAAUCAUAGAAGUUGUGUUAGAAGGAACCUCUUAUAAUCAUCUUGUCUAACCCUGCUGCCACAGACAGGAACAUCUUCAAGUACAUGAGGUUUCUCAGAACUCUGAGCUGACCUUGAAUAUUUAAAAGGGUGGGGAAUCCAUUACUUCUCUGCACAACUGUUCUAGUGUUUUGCUAUUCUCAUCAUAAAAAAAUUCUUAAUUAUUUCUUGAAUUCCAUCCCAUAUGCUGAGCUUGGCUUGACUCUACACAAGGUAACACAUUUCAGGUUACCAGAGCUCCCGAAUUGCUGUCCAUCAGCUGAACCAUCAAUUGUGACUAAUGUGCUCUUCAAGCUGCCAGUGAAGUGUGCUAGUCUGAAACUCAAAAUGAAGUGGGAACCACUCAAAGAUA